Molecule: ribosomal RNA, 303 nt
Filed under: uncultured bacterium
Lineage: Bacteria
Description: bacterial SSU rRNA
Rfam family: Bacterial small subunit ribosomal RNA
Source: RNAcentral
UGGGGAAUAUUGCACAAUGGGGGAAACCCUGAUGCAGCGACGCCGCGUGAGCGAAGAAGUAUUUCGGUAUGUAAAGCUCUAUCAGCAGGGAAGAAAAUGACGGUACCUGACUAAGAAGCUCCGGCUAAAUACGUGCCAGCAGCCGCGGUAAUACGUAUGGAGCAAGCGUUAUCCGGAUUUACUGGGUGUAAAGGGAGCGUAGGCGGCCAGACAAGUCUGAUGUGAAAGGCUGGGGCUCAACCCCAGGACUGCAUUGGAAACUGUGAGGCUAGAGUGUCGGAGAGGCAGGCGGAAUUCCUAGUG